GCGUGUUUCGCGAUAAUUUAUCGUAUUAUAUGAGAUAUAAAUUUAUUUAUGAAAAAAAAACUAUUAUAUACCUCCAUGGGCAUUCAAGAUAUUCUUUUUCAUUUGUUUUGUUUAUUAUAUAAAAGCAUAGAUAAUUUGAAAGAGAGAAAAUAAAAACGAAACGAAUACGGAGUCUGUUGGCUCUCCUUCUCGUUAUUUUCAGCGAAUCGGUCGACGGAGACUUCUUUAUCGGCGCUUAGAUAGCCUAGUUUCUUGAAGCGAAUCAAAACAGCAGUCUACCACGUGCGUUCCUUCUUUUCCGUUCGUGUUACACGGUUUUAUGUACGUGCGAACGAAAAGAAAUCUAUUUAAUAUCGGCAAUGAAAGAUAAACACUUUCGAGAUACUUUCGUUGAACCUAAUUCUCUGUGGAACUUUAUAUACUAUACGUAUACAUAAUCAUAUUCUUAUAUAAAUAAGUAUAUAAUGAAGAAAGUAUGGUGUUAUGAUCGUUGAGCCUCCUAAAACCGUUUAGAGAUGCUCCUUCGGAUCUCGAUAAUAAGAGAUUACGUACGAAAGCGAUUUAGCUCGUACGAGAGAGGGACUCCGGUCUGAGCGCGCGCGCGCGCUAGAGAGAGAGAGAGAGAGAGAGAAUGCAGUCAAGCACGUGGGUACACGCGUAAUAUCUGGGUAAUCGUUACGUUAGAUAGGGAUCAAUGCCAAACGCGUUGGAACUCGAGAUACCGCAAUUUAUCAUUAAACGCCCACGUUUACGUUUCGUUAACCCAAAGUGCAGAAUUGUGCCAUUCCCGUUACUCCUACGGCAAUUUCAGACAGACGGAUCGUUCGCGCGGCAAAUCAUUCUCGAUGCUAAGAGUGAGAUCGAGAUGAACAUCGUUGGGGAGAUGUCUCGAAGUAUUUUCUCUUUUCAACAGAUUGUUUCCGUCCGUGAUAAAGACAUUUAAAUAAUAAAAACAUGAUAUACUACCUUAACUACAAAAGGAAUUUCUUAUAUUUAUUUUUUAUUAAUAUAAUAUGACAGUUUUUCAAAAUUAUAAGCUUAUUUGGAUUCGAUGUUUCCUUUCUUUUUUCUUUUUUUUUUUUUUUUCGACAACCUUAGUCGUACAUAAGAAAUUUUUGAAGCACACGAAGAUAUUCUGUGAAGAUCUCGAGAAUGUCCGACGUGGUCCGACGGCUUGCUUUUGGGUAACAUAAAACAACGCCGUGGGCGACUCUCUCUCUCUCUUUCUUUCUCUCUCUCUCUCUCUUUCUCUCUCCAUCUCUCUUUCUUUCAUCUGCUGUGUUGAGUGAGCGCGCGCGCGCGCGCGCGCUUCGAUCUUCUUAAGAAGCAUGACGUCAUCGAAAGAGACUCCACCAGCUUGCACGUAACCCCGGUGUCUUUCGGUCGCCGCAUAAAACGAGAUAUGCCUCCUCGUAAACUCGUUCGUUUCUCCGCAAACCGAUGAGAGUUCGUUAAGAAGUCGAGAGCGUGCGCGUGAGCCCAAUGUUUUGUCACGCAGAUCAUUUUGACGUUUGCGUCUUUUAAAAUUAUGAUUUGCAUCAUUGCGCGAUUUUAUUUUUUACGACUCUUUUUCUUUAUAUCUUCUCCCCAUCUCUCUCUCUCUCUCUCUCUCUCUCUCUCUCUCUCUCUCUUUCUUACUCAUAUCAAUGCCCUAAUUCUCUUUACGAGUAAGACACUCCUUUAUUUGAUUUUAUACUACGAGGUUUGCUCCUUUCAAUGACGAUAUGUUCGUUAAAAAUUUAAUUUUUAAGAUCGAGACAGUUUACAUUUUAGAAAAGAAAAAAUGGAUAAGAUCAAUCGCGUAUCAAUCGAUUUUUUAUACAAUUAACAAUACUGGAGAAGACACGAGCAGAAUUCGUUUUCUCGUAUAGACGAUAAAGUGCGGGCGGAGUCGUGGGAGUUGCUCUUGUAAAACGCUUCUGCCUCUCCACAUUUGGAAGCGGUUCUCUUUCUAGACGCUGACGUUACGACUCUUUUUAUUUCUGAUAUUACACGCUCGUCUAAGUAAUAAUAUUUCUUUUCGAAUAACGAAGAAAGAGAAUUCCAUUAAUUUUUCCAUUGAAAAGCAUAAAUCGCGUGGGAGUGUUACGACCGUAAGUCUUGAUCUUUGAAAUAAGUAAGAUUUUAUAGUAACAUAAUGUUAGAUAGCGUUGCUAAGAGAGACUAUUUGUAAGCUGUCGCAUAAAUACUUACUCGAUAGCCUUUUUCUCCGGUACCGCCAUAUUCACCGCCUGCGCCUUUCUCACCUUUAGGUCCAGGAGGUCCAUCCGGUCCGAUUUCACCCGGAAGACCCUCUAGCCCUUGCUGUCCAGGUAUUCCAGGAAAACCAUAUUGUCCUUUUAUACCGGUACAAUUGCAUUUGUAGUUAUCUUUGCAAAUCUGAAAUGCACAAUGAACAAAAGCCUACGAUAAAACAAAAAAUAGAAAAAUAGGCAUUUUCAUGGUAGGGCUAAUAUUAAUUCAAACGCUGAUUAUAUUAACAAUAAAUUGUUCAUUUUAUUCAAAGUAAACUCCUUCAGCAUUAUAAUAAUAUUAUUCAACAAGGAGUCAAAUCAGGUUAUUAUGUUGAGCGAACAAGCAUUACUAUUUGCUUUCUCAUCAUGCAAGAGAAUGUCCUCCGUUGUUUGUUCAAAUCAUCGUGUAAAAUAUUAUGAAUUGUAGAUUUCUACAUAUUAAAUUCUUUUGCUAGCGUGCGCGCAGUUGUGUCAGGCUCAACUGCCAAUGUUUGAUGAAUCUUUUCGACGAGAUUUUUUCAUUCAGGACGUCUGUCAUUUCUAAAUUUUGCAAAUCACCUGAAAAGACAUAUACGACAAUAGACAAUCGUUUCUGUAAAGUUGUCUUAGAAUUUAAAAAGUCUGCGUUGCCAUUUAAUCGACUUUUAACGUAGAAUUUGACAUCAGCUAAUUGAUUUAUUAUAUAUGUCUAUAUGUUUGAUACUCAUAUGCAAACGUAUUAUGUUACUAUUAAUUGAAGACGUAUAGAAAAAAUGUCAAGAAAGAAAAAAAAGAAAUAAAUAAAUAAAUAAAAAAAAAAAAAGAAGAAAUGAAUGAAAUAAAAGGGAAAAGGCAAAAAAUGAAUAAAGAAAGAAUUUGCUACAUCCGCAAGUUGGUAUCGAAUUGAACGUGACGCGACUCAUUGCGAGAAAAUAGACGAUCUCGUGCGAUGACGAUAACGAUGACGAUGAUGAUAGCGAUGACGACGAGGACGAGCCAAACGAAGGACACAGGCAACGAGUAUCGCUUUAUGCAUAGGAUAUGCCUAACGGGUAAUGGCGAGGUCGAUGCGAAAAUGCACUCACUCGACAUCGCGUAGAUCGGUCUUGGCCUCGGCUAGUCUCGUCAAACGUUCGUCCGCGAGGCCGUUUUUACGGUAUUAGUACGACGAUUAGCCGUCUUCCGUUUGGUCGAUGAAGUCAUUUUGGGAAAAAAUUCAUUCGGUGUAUCUGUUAAAUCGAUCGGAUCAGAGGAAAGAAAUUACAUAUAUUUGUCUUUGGUUGUAGGAGAUUAAAAAAACGAAAAGCAAGGAGGAGUCGAGCAUCGAAGGACGUCGCUCUAUUUGCAGAGCGUCGGAGGCGAACGAAAAUGGAGAGUCGCUUCCACGCGUUUGCCUUGCGGAUGAAUAUUCCGCUUGUGUCAACUAAGCGUUUCGUGUUCGUCGCUCUCAACGAAUCUGCUGGAUAAAUUUGCUGGAAGACCUUCGACUUUUCAAUCUCUAUUAAUUCUCCCUUUUACGACAGAAAAAUACUUACAAUUAGAUUUAUUACAAUAUUGUCAUAUUUUACGAGCUAAUAAAUUAAUCAGGCAAAAGUAA
This is a long non-coding RNA of Vespa velutina, 3810 nucleotides long. RefSeq lists it as uncharacterized. The record is from RefSeq and is a predicted model, not a curated record. The transcript is spliced from 3 exons. NCBI's taxonomy places the organism in Eukaryota, Metazoa, Arthropoda, Insecta, Hymenoptera, Vespidae.